GCUCCCGUAGCUCAGUUGGAUAGAGCGGCGGUUUCCUAAACCGCAGGCCACAGGUUCGAAUCCUGUCGGGAGUAC
Molecule: transfer RNA, 75 nt
Filed under: Caulifigura coniformis
Lineage: Bacteria; Pseudomonadati; Planctomycetota; Planctomycetia; Planctomycetales; Planctomycetaceae
Description: Planctomycetes bacterium Pan44 tRNA-Arg
Rfam family: tRNA
About the family: Transfer RNA (tRNA) molecules are approximately 80 nucleotides in length. Their secondary structure includes four short double-helical elements and three loops (D, anti-codon, and T loops). Further hydrogen bonds mediate the characteristic L-shaped molecular structure. tRNAs have two regions of fundamental functional importance: the anti-codon, which is responsible for specific mRNA codon recognition, and the 3' end, to which the tRNAs corresponding amino acid is attached (by aminoacyl-tRNA synthetases). tRNAs cope with the degeneracy of the genetic code in two manners: having more than one tRNA (with a specific anti-codon) for a particular amino acid; and 'wobble' base-pairing, i.e. permitting non-standard base-pairing at the 3rd anti-codon position.
Source: RNAcentral